CGGGGGGCUGCAGUCAAGAAUCUUCCGCAAUGGGCGAAAGCCUGACGGAGCGACGCCGCGUGCAGGAUGAAGGCCUUCGGGUCGUAAACUGCUUUUCUCAGGGAAAAAUUUCUGAUUGUACUUGAGGAAUAAGGGACUGCUAACUUCGUGCCAGCAGCAGCGGUAAUACGAAGGUCCCAAGCGUUAUCCGGUGUUAUUAGGCGUAAAGCGUCCGCAGGUUGUUUAGCACAUCUUUGGUCAAAUCCCACGGCCCAACCGUGGAACUGCCAAAGAGAUGGCUAAACUAGAGACAGGGAUAGGCAUGUGGAAUGGCUGGUGUAGGAGUAAAAUCCGUUAAUCUCAGCUAGAACACCAAAUGCGAAGGCAGCAUGCUGGAACUGUUCUGACACUCAUGGACGAAAGCGUGGGUAGCGAAUGGGAUUAGAUACCCCUGUAGUC
Molecule: ribosomal RNA, 438 nt
Filed under: uncultured microorganism
Description: bacterial SSU rRNA
Rfam family: Bacterial small subunit ribosomal RNA
Source: RNAcentral